AACAGGUAGUACCUUUAAGCUUCCCACAUACAAGUGCCAGAUAGUUCCUGCUGCUCUUAUUUGGAGAUAUUAAAAUUGUUUAGGGAAAGUGCUUACAACCACUGAGUCUCUUCCAAAAACUGGUGACAAGUACAGAGAGAGAAGCACUUUCUUGGGUCUUUUCUGCUGGAAUAUCUCUAAAGAUGGAAUCCAGAAAAAAAUGAUGUGAGCAGUUACCAAGUGCCUUCGCUGAUUUAACUUCAUCCUCCAGAAGUUCAUGUCUUCUUGGUAAUUGGAGUGUCUGAUGUGCAGUAUCUGUGUCACUGUGUUCCGCUAGAGGGAACAGCUGUGAUGUGUGGGGGAAAAGAAACCAUGAAAAGCCCACAGGGAUCUCUCCCAUAGCAUCCUGAC
Molecule: long non-coding RNA, 390 nt
Filed under: Phasianus colchicus (ring-necked pheasant)
Lineage: Eukaryota; Metazoa; Chordata; Aves; Galliformes; Phasianidae
Description: lncRNA (ENSPCLG00000004272.1)
Source: RNAcentral